This 328-nucleotide ribosomal RNA is filed under the name uncultured bacterium. RNAcentral's name for it is "bacterial SSU rRNA". It matches the Rfam family "Bacterial small subunit ribosomal RNA", at positions 568 to 898 of the family's 1533-position model. The record is from RNAcentral.
UGCGUAGGCGGGUAGGUAAGUCAGUGGUGAAAUCCUAGAGCUUAACUCUAGAACUGCCAUUGAUACUAUCUAUCUUGAAUAUUGUGGAGGUAAGCGGAAUAUGUCAUGUAGCGGUGAAAUGCUUAGAUAUGACAUAGAACACCCAUUGCGAAGGCAGCUUACUACACAUAUAUUGACGCUGAGGCACGAAAGCGUGGGGAUCAAACAGGAUUAGAUACCCUGGUAGUCCACGCCCUAAACGAUGAUUACUCGACAUACGCAAUACACCGUGUGUGUCUGAGCGAAAGCAUUAAGUAAUCCACCUGGGAAGUACGAUCGCAAGAUUGAA